RNAcentral lists this long non-coding RNA (1160 nucleotides) under Zonotrichia albicollis (white-throated sparrow). RNAcentral's name for it is "lncRNA (ENSZALG00000016659.1)". Lineage: Eukaryota; Metazoa; Chordata; Aves; Passeriformes; Passerellidae. The record is from RNAcentral.
CGUGAAAUCAUAGGCUGGUCAUAAUGAGUGCUCAGCAGGCUGUCCUUGCCCCUUCUGCUCCCUCCAGUUCCCCAACCAGGAUUCCUAAUUUACUCAGCUGUCUUUUAGCACAGGUCUGAUUCAGUAUUGUAUUUGUCAUCCCCAGCUUUCUUGAUUCACUGGCUGAAAAGCAGGAAACACAACCCUGCACCUGGUGGGAUUCAGCACUGGAGAAAUGCCUGUCUAAAGACUGGAGUUGGGCUUUCCUUUUAUAUAAAUUGAGUAAGUUUACAGGGAAUCUCUUCUUACAGGGAACACACAGAGAAUUCUGUUUCUUUGUCAAUCUCUGACUUCUGCCAAGUGCUCAGCUUUCAUUCCAGAUCUGUUCACCAUCAGCCCUAUCUUCAAUUUAUUCCAUAUAAGUUGAGAUGCUGUAAUUGGACUUCUCCAAGUCUGCACAGCCUUGUCCUAAAGUACGUCAAAUGUCUUAUCCAGGCUUUGAUUACUCUGAUGGACUACAGACAUCCUGUUUGUUUGUUUAUUAGGCAGCUUCUUAUCUCAGUUGCAGACUUAGGAAACUCCAUCAUUUCAGUUGCACAGCUCCAGCAAUUAGGCUUCCUGCUUUUCUGAUCUGGCUGGUGCUACCAUACCCUUUGUAAGGACCAGGAGAAGGAGGCAUAAGAAAGAAAGCAUCACCACUGGGAGCAGUCAGCAGUAUAAGCUUCUUGGGAAUGAGAGCCAGUGCAAAGCAGGAAGUUUGUCAGGAAAAUCCUGGGAGAAUUAUCUCUUUUUCUUUUCAGAGGAUAUGUGAUUACCACACUUCAUCCCACGCUGUGCUCAUAUAAGGAACACUUAGCUCUGCAGAGCCUCCUGGAGAUGACCCUGUUCUUCCCAGGACAAGUAACUUGCACUUUGCACAACAAAACAGCUUACCCGAACAGAAUAUCAUUGGUCAGAAAUUGCAUUAAAUGGGAGCAGAAGACCACAGGAGCCUGUGGCUGGAAUGGCAAAAAAGGUACAGUUACUGUAAUUGAGGCAGAAGAAAUGUAUUGCAGUGGAGGGUUUUGUGAGCAUGACGCAUAAUAGGGUGAUUGCCAUGGAAAGAGUAAUUUGCAGCGUUUAAAAUACUUCCUCCAGUGGUGAGAAGAUCUGCAGAAAAUUAUUAAAGGAUCUCCCACUGC